UAACGGCAAGUGAAGCGGCAAGAGCUCAAAUUUGAAAGCUGGCUCCUUCGGAGUCCGCAUUGUAAUUUGCAGAGGAUGCUUUGGGUGCGGCCCCCGUCUAAGUGCCCUGGAACGGGCCGUCAGAGAGGGUGAGAAUCCCGUCUUGGGCGGGGUGUCCGUGCCCGUGUAAAGCUCCUUCGACGAGUCGAGUUGUUUGGGAAUGCAGCUCUAAAUGGGUGGUAAAUUUCAUCUAAAGCUAAAUACUGGCCGGAGACCGAUAGCGCACAAGUAGAGUGAUCGAAAGAUGAAAAGCACUUUGAAAAGAGAGUUAAACAGCACGUGAAAUUGUUGAAAGGGAAGCGCUUGCGACCAGACUCGCCCGCGGGGUUCAGCCGGCAUUCGUGCCGGUGUACUUCCCCGUGGGCGGGCCAGCGUCGGUUUGGGCGGCCGGUCAAAGGCCCCUGGAAUGUAGUGCCCUCCGGGGCACCUUAUAGCCAGGGGUGCAAUGCGGCCAGCCUGGACCGAGGAACGCGCUUCGGCACGGACGCUGGCAUAAUGGUCGUAAACGACCCGUCUUGAAACACGGACCAAGGAGUCUAACAUCUACGCGAGUGUUCGGGUGUCAAACCCGUGCGCGCAGUGAAAGCGAACGGAGGUGGGAGCCCCCUUGCGGGGCGCACCAUCGACCGAUCCUGAUGUCUUCGGAUGGAUUUGAGUAAGAGCGUAGCUGUGGGGACCCGAAAGAUGGUGAACUAUGCCUGAAUAGGGCGAAGCCAGAGGAAACUCUGGUGGAGGCUCGCAGCGGUUCUGACGUGCAAAUCGAUCGUCAAAUUUGGGUAUAGGGGCGAAAGACUAAUCGAACCAUCUAGUAGCUGGUUCCUGCCGAAGUU
Molecule: ribosomal RNA, 869 nt
Filed under: Aspergillus niger
Lineage: Eukaryota; Fungi; Ascomycota; Eurotiomycetes; Eurotiales; Aspergillaceae
Description: LSU rRNA
Rfam family: Eukaryotic large subunit ribosomal RNA
Source: RNAcentral